RNAcentral lists this ribosomal RNA (776 nucleotides) under uncultured Neocallimastigales. RNAcentral's name for it is "partial large subunit ribosomal RNA". It matches the Rfam family "Eukaryotic large subunit ribosomal RNA", at positions 26 to 646 of the family's 3401-position model. Lineage: Eukaryota; Fungi; Neocallimastigomycota; Neocallimastigomycetes; Neocallimastigales. The record is from RNAcentral.
CGUCUAUAUACGUAUAGCAUAUCAAUAAGCGGAGGAAAAGAAACUAACUAGGAUUCCCUCAGUAACGGCGAGUGAAGCGGGAAGAGCUCAAAUUUGAAAUCUUCAAGGUUUUACCUUGACGAAUUGUAGUUUAAAGAAGUGUUUUCUGUUGGAGUUUUGGUAAAAGUUCUUUGGAAUAGGACAUCAUAGAGGGUGAGAAUCCCGUAUUUGACCAUUAUUUCCAACUUUGUGAUACACUUUCAAAGAGUCGGAUUGUUUGGGAAUGCAGUCCAAAAUGGGUGGUAAAUUUCAUCUAAAGCUAAAUACUGGCGAGAGACCGAUAGCGAACAAGUACCGUGAGGGAAAGAUGAAAAGAACUUUGAAAAGAGAGUUAAACAGUACGUGAAAUUGUCAAAAGGGAAGCGUUUGACACCAGUGUUGUUUUCUCGAAAAUCAAUUAAAAAUGGCGGGAUUUUGUGUUGUAUUGACUUUAUCAGCUUUCUGCACUUUUUUCUUGUCUUUUUUAAUGCACUUUUCGUUUAACAAGUCAACAUCAAUUUCUUUUGUUGUAAAAGGGUCAUUGGAAGGUGGCUUUCUUUUCGGAGAAAGUGUUUAUAGCCUUUGACUUCUGCAAUCGGAGAGAUUGAGGUCUGCAGCGUAGAUCCUUCGGGGUUAGAUAGCAUUUGUGCUAAGUUAUAGCCUUUCAUAGACAACUUGUUGACUAUGAUCAGUCAUGUAGCUUACUCGCUUAUGCUAUUUUACCUACGCUUAGGAUGUUGACGAUCAGGCUGAGCGCG